This 336-nucleotide ribosomal RNA is filed under the name uncultured bacterium. RNAcentral's name for it is "bacterial SSU rRNA". It matches the Rfam family "Bacterial small subunit ribosomal RNA", at positions 72 to 422 of the family's 1533-position model. The record is from RNAcentral.
AAGUGGAGCAAUCCAUGAGUAAAGUGGCGACCGGGUGAGUAACACGUGACUAACCUACCUUUUAGUGGGGGAUAACCUCGGGAAACCGAGGCUAAUACCGCAUAACAUCGCAAGAUCAAAGCAGCAAUGCGCUGGAAGAGGGGGUCGCGGCUGAUUAGCUAGUUGGCGGGGUAACGGCCCACCAAGGCGAAGAUCGGUAGCCGGCCUGAGAGGGCGCACGGCCACACUGGAACUGAAACACGGUCCAGACUCCUACGGGAGGCAGCAGUGGGGAAUUUUGCGCAAUGGGGGAAACCCUGACGCAGCAACGCCGCGUGGAGGAUGAAGCCCCUUGGG